CUCGCCACACAGGGUCCCACCACCGUUGCUCGCCUCUUCCUCCACCUCCGCCUCCUCUUCCUCCGCCUCUACGGCCUCCUCUUCCGCCGCCGCCACCACCGCGGCGACCUCCGCCUUGGGAGUUAGGACGAUAAGACAUUGGGGAGAUGGAGAUCCUUCGACGAUGAAACAGCAAUGAAGGAAGAAUGGUUGGGGUCAGAGGUCGAAAGUUGAUGAGCACCUCGGAUUCUUUGAGAGCGAUGGGAAGUGAUCGUGUGAAGGAUUUCGAAGUUGAGAACAGAGAGCUUACUCCUCCUUUCAGAUACAUUCUCGACGAAGCGUAAACCCCUAAAACUGCUACUCUUCUUUGUCCAGCGGCGUCGUUUGAACCAGCGAAAAGGAGCUAGUCAG
Molecule: long non-coding RNA, 390 nt
Filed under: Linum usitatissimum (flax)
Lineage: Eukaryota; Viridiplantae; Streptophyta; Magnoliopsida; Malpighiales; Linaceae
Description: long non-coding RNA (LUSI_LNC002133)
Source: RNAcentral